RNAcentral lists this ribosomal RNA (504 nucleotides) under uncultured bacterium. Its description in RNAcentral is "bacterial SSU rRNA". It matches the Rfam family "Bacterial small subunit ribosomal RNA", at positions 1005 to 1509 of the family's 1533-position model. The record is from RNAcentral.
GAUGCUUUGGUGCCUUCGGGAACUCUGAGACAGGUGCUGCAUGGCUGUCGUCAGCUCGUGUUGUGAAAUGUUGGGUUAAGUCCCGCAACGAGCGCAACCCUUAUCCUUUGUUGCCAGCGGCUCGGCCGGGAACUCAAAGGAGACUGCCGGUGAUAAACCGGAGGAAGGUGGGGAUGACGUCAAGUCAUCAUGGCCCUUACGGCCAGGGCUACACACGUGCUACAAUGGCGCAUACAAAGAGAAGCGACCUCGCGAGAGCAAGCGGACCUCAUAAAGUGCGUCGUAGUCCGGAUUGGAGUCUGCAACUCGACUCCAUGAAGUCGGAAUCGCUAGUAAUCGUAGAUCAGAAUGCUACGGUGAAUACGUUCCCGGGCCUUGUACACACCGCCCGUCACACCAUGGGAGUGGGUUGCAAAAGAAGUAGGUAGCUUAACCUUCGGGAGGGCGCUUACCACUUUGUGAUUCAUGACUGGGGUGAAGUCGUAACAAGGUAAGCGUAGCGAG